Molecule: long non-coding RNA, 244 nt
Filed under: Monodelphis domestica (gray short-tailed opossum)
Lineage: Eukaryota; Metazoa; Chordata; Mammalia; Didelphimorphia; Didelphidae
Description: lncRNA (ENSMODG00000036452.1)
Source: RNAcentral
CACUGAAUAGUGACAAGACUUCUGAAAAUAGGUUAAGCAAAUUGAAAACAUCAUUGGGCCAACUUUUGGGAAAGGACAACUCACAAUAUUCCAGAGAUAGUGUGGUGGAUGUGGUAGGUAUGACUUGGAGUAAGGAAAAUCUAACUUUGAAUCCAGCCUGAAACUAAGGAGCUGUGAGACCCCAAGUAAGUAAUUUUUCUCUAUAUGAUUCAAUUUCCUCAUCUAUAAAAAGGGAAGGGUGACU